AGUAUGCUAGUACUGCGCUGAUCCUUCUUUAAUGGUUGAUCAGGUGCCUCCUUCUUCUUGAUUUGGACUCUUCCAAAGAUGAAAAGUAAAAGGAGGAGUUUCAGAUCUGAGACGCUCUCAGAAAACUCAAGAUGGAGGGAGAAAAGAUAUGAAAAUAAAUAACCCUAGAAGAAGACCCUCUUCUUCUUCUCGUUUCUCUCUCUAGACACCCUAA
RNAcentral lists this long non-coding RNA (214 nucleotides) under Elaeis guineensis (African oil palm). RNAcentral's name for it is "long non-coding RNA (EGUI_LNC049613)". Lineage: Eukaryota; Viridiplantae; Streptophyta; Magnoliopsida; Arecales; Arecaceae. The record is from RNAcentral.